RNAcentral lists this transfer RNA (67 nucleotides) under Tropilaelaps mercedesae. Its description in RNAcentral is "tRNA-Ser". Lineage: Eukaryota; Metazoa; Arthropoda; Arachnida; Mesostigmata; Laelapidae. The record is from RNAcentral.
GAUUUCUUAUCUUAAAUUAAAGUAUUUAUUUUGAAAAUAAAUUAUAAAGAAAAAUCUUUAGAAAUCU